This 2934-nucleotide long non-coding RNA is filed under the name Homo sapiens (human). RNAcentral's name for it is "non-protein coding lnc-MRPS25-5:3". Lineage: Eukaryota; Metazoa; Chordata; Mammalia; Primates; Hominidae. The record is from RNAcentral.
CUGAAUGACCUGGGAAUGAGAGGAGGGGCUGGUGGAGACCUUUUCACCAACACCAAGAACUGGGAUCUGAAAGCUGUUAUGCUUGUAUUCCCAGGGAACUGCAACAUGGCCCUCAUGGUCACUCUCAAGGAUCAAAACGACGGAAGGCAGGCAACAAUCUGUGUUAGAGGCACCACUGAGCUGCAGGAUGCCUGCUACUAAAAGCCUUCACAAGCAGAAAUGAAACAAACCUGCCCUAAUUCCAUUGUCUCAGCUGGUUUUUUGUCUUAAUUUUGAAACUGAAAACACAUCAGGGUUAGAAAAGUAAAAAUUACUUUAAGCUGGCAAAAUUAAAUCCUUUCCAUCAUUUUAUAAUGGCCACUCCCACUACUCUCCAAAAUUUGCUGCCAAGGCAAGAAUUAUAAAAUGAUAUAAUUAAAUCCAAACAAGAAUUUAGAAGUUGGAAACACUGUUCCCACUUACCCUACUAACACUGACUUGCGUAAAGUGCUGCUAACCCUUCAGGAUCAAGCAUCCUGUUCUGCCUUGAGCCUGCAGCAGCUUCCAUUCUGUCCAAUGUGGCACCACAGGGGCGUCUGUAGCUGGCCAGACUGCACCCCUGUGGAGCACAUGUGGCGCCAGCCUGAGCCAGAUCAGAGCACCUGUGAGUCAGGGGAGUGUCCAGGGAUCUUUUUGGAUAUCAUCUGAUUAACAAAUCAAGAGAGGCAAAUUUAACCCAACAGGGUGUAUUUUCUUAAUCUGGACUAUUUAAAAAGCAAAAGACAAAGCAAUUGACCGGGUCUUCCACAUGCCACUGUUCUCAAACAGGAAAAGCUUGCUAUAUAUUCACAUCCGUGGGAAUUUACGGGUGUUUGAAGUUAGACAUAACUUCCUUUUAAGCGCAUACUGUUCUUGCUGUAAACUCUGGUUGCUACAAUUUAUGAGGAGAAAGACUAUCACCCUGGAAAUUGAGGGUUGUUUUUAAGGAGCAAGCAGCCUGCAUUUAAAAUGCUCCGGGGUGGUCGGCUGGCACACACCUGGGGGAACCAAAGUGCACAGUGUGCUGGUAACAUUAACAGACUUGCCAACAGAGAUGCUGAGUCUAUACACAUUUUUAAAAUCUCUGGUAUUUAAGGUCAACAGGAAGAAAUUGUCCUGAAACCUUCCAUCCAGCUUUACCAGGCCCUAACCACUCUCGCCAGGCGGCAGCAGGCUCCUGCCCAGCCCCAAUCCAGCCUCACAGUUAUGAUGGAGCUGCAGAAACACGAGCCCUUUUCAAGGGGGCAUUUGGAGUGGAAAGCCCUGGGAAGGUAACGCUCACACUCCAAGGCCACACUCCUCCAUCUGGACAAACACACAAGCACCCCCAAUUGUAUUGGAAGUACUGUCAAGAGCUCAAAAUGCCCACCUUGCACUUUUUGGUCACAAGGCUCCAUCUGCCACGAGCGGCGGAUGUGACUUGGGGAUGUUUUCACUUGCUGGAGGAACUGUACAUCUCAUUUGGCAGUUAAUGUCUGACUAGUUGCAAUCCAAUUCAGAUAACCAGUCAUCAAAGGAGAACCCCAGGUUCUAGAGGAGUCUGCAGAUGCCCAUCAGAGACCAGGACCAAGUAGUCAGGGAACCUGACAAGUGUCUGCUCUAUGGCUAGAAGCUUCUGAACUGGGUCACCACCGACUGUGCUACCACACUCCCACUUACUGCAUGAUGCAAAUGAGCCACGUUUCCAUUCACAGAAUUCAGCUCAACUCCACAACAUGUGCACACAAUUAGGAAUGAUGCCUUCUUUUCUUAAACAUAAAUGAUUGUCUCCUGUACCCUAGUGAGUUUUCACAGAAAUCAUUAGCAUUUCGGCAAAAGACAUACACAGUUUUCCAUUUGCCCUGCCCACAGGCAAGAUGUUGCUAACGUUACACAUUGAUAAGUGCUUAGAAAGUGCUAAUAUUAUUACCCUGGUAAUUAGUAUCUAUAAUUCCAAGGACUUUUUUAUAUAUAUAUAUACACACAUACUAUUCUCUCAGGUUCUUUCAGUUUUCUUUAAUACUAGUCUCUGACAUUAUAAAACCUUUUUUUUUGUUUUUUGCCCUUUGAGAAUUUCUAAAUACAAAUUGAGUUAAAAGAUUGUUCCAAAAUCUGCUGCUUCAUCAAAAGGCAUUAAAACAUUUCUUAUGUCAGGAAAGGAUCCUACUAGUCUUUUAAUUGCUAUUGUCUGGGAUUAACAGAUAAGGAGAAACCAGACAGGAAAUGGCUAACAUAUGGAAAUAUUUGCACAUACCAAAAUACCACUACUUUUCUUUGUAUGUGAACGGUCCUGGAAGGAUUCUGUUGCUCCUUGGCAGGUGUGUGGUUUGCGCUAUAGACUGGCUCCGGUGAUCUGGCCAUUAUACUCUGCUGUCUCCAUCUUGAGGAUGUAGGGGAUUAUGCUGUCUAUCGAAACAUUGCCAAUGAGACCAGUAAAAAAAAGUUCUUCUGUUAUGUUGGAGCUCAUCAGCCUGAGUGCCGGCAGGCGAACGAGGAUCCGGGCCAAUCUAUAAAAGGGAGUGUCAUUAGAAAAGGAGACUGUUUGAUGCCCUUCAACCACAGCUCAGCAAAGGCUCCUGGGGUCCCGUCUGUAUUGCACAGAAUCAAACCAAACGGAUCCACCAUCCACCCACCUCUCUUUUCUGAUUUCAACAGUUCCUCUUAUAGAAAUUUAUCAUGAGAAAAAACCAAAUGAGUACAAAAUGUAUGUACAGAUGUGUUCCCUUCACUCUUGUUUAUUCCAACUCUCCUCACCCCCACCACCAAGAGAAAACCUGGAAAUUCAUCAACAGAGGACAGACUAAAGUAGGAGUCUUCAUAUGAUGAACUGCUAGAGACUCAUUUAAAAAACGAUAAUACAAACCUGUAUUUACUGACCAGGAAAGACAUCCAUGACAUAUUGCUCAAUAAAAGUUUAAAAGGAGAUUAUAAAACAGC